UGCCAGACUCCUACGGGAGGCAGCAGUGGGGGAUAUUGCACAAUGGGGGGAACCCUGAUGCAGCGACGCCGCGUGGGUGAAGGAGCGUUUCGGCGCGUAAAGCCCUAUCGGCAGGGAAGAAGGAGGACGGUACCUGACUAAGAAGCCCCGGCUAACUACGUGCCAGCAGCCGCGGUAAUACGUAGGGGGCAAGCGUUAUCCGGAUUUACUGGGUGUAAAGGGGGCGUAGACGGCAGCGCAAGCCAGGAGUGAAAGCCCGGGGCCCAACCCCGGGACUGCUCUUGGAACUGUGCGGCUAGAGUGCGGGAGGGGCAGGCGGAAUUCCUGGUGUAGCGGUGAAAUGCGUAGAUAUCAGGAGGAACACCGGCGGCGAAGGCGGCCUGCUGGACCGCGACUGACGUUGAGGCUCGAAAGCGCGGGGAGCGAACAGGAUUAGAUACCCGCGUACUG
This 450-nucleotide ribosomal RNA is filed under the name uncultured bacterium. RNAcentral's name for it is "partial 16S ribosomal RNA". It matches the Rfam family "Bacterial small subunit ribosomal RNA", at positions 329 to 793 of the family's 1533-position model. The record is from RNAcentral.